AAGACCUUCAUGCUGUCUCAGGCCAGCAAGCUUGGAGCAGAGCUGGAGAGGACAUAAUCUUGCAGGCAUCUCCGCACCCACCUAUCUUUGUACCUGCCGCAGUGCUUGGGCCUCCCCCAACUUAUCUCCCAGACUUAUGUUAUUCAUCACUUGGUCCUAACACCCAAUCGGUGCAGCCUGUUUGCAGUAUGUCAGCUGUGAAGGGACCGCGGGAGCCGACGACCGUUUUGGACGAGAACCGUUUUUAUACCCACG
Ornithodoros turicata is the source of this 255-nucleotide long non-coding RNA. RefSeq lists it as uncharacterized. The record is from RefSeq and is a predicted model, not a curated record. NCBI's taxonomy places the organism in Eukaryota, Metazoa, Arthropoda, Arachnida, Ixodida, Argasidae. The transcript is spliced from 3 exons.